UAGGGAAUAUUGGACAAUGGACGCAAGUCUGAUCCAGCCAUCCCGCGUGAAGGAUUAAGGCCCUCUGGGUUGUAAACUUCUUUUCUCUGGGAAUAAAAACUCCGAUUCUUCGGAGCCUGAAGGUACCAGAGGAAUAAGCACCGGCUAACUCCGUGCCAGCAGCCGCGGUAAUACGGAGGGUGCAAGCGUUAUCCGGAUUCACUGGGUUUAAAGGGUGCGUAGGUGGCUUUGUAAGUCAGUGGUGAAAGCCUAGAGCUCAACUCUAGAACUGCCAUUGAUACUGCUUAGCUUGAAUCAGGUCGAGGUGGAUGGAAUAUGACAUGUAGCGGUGAAAUGCUUAGAUAUGUUAUAGAACACCGAUUGCGAAGGCAGUUCACUAGACCUGUAUUGACACUGAGGCACGAAAGCGUGGGGAUCAAACA
Molecule: ribosomal RNA, 422 nt
Filed under: uncultured bacterium
Lineage: Bacteria
Description: bacterial SSU rRNA
Rfam family: Bacterial small subunit ribosomal RNA
Source: RNAcentral